GGAUGCGAGGGCCAUCAGACUGUGACAUCUGUCAUCCCGUUGAUCUCCAGGGUUUAUGGGCUAGUCUGGCUGGUGGGUGUGCAGUCCUCCCAAAGACAAAUGCUUGGUGGAAAAGGAAAUACUCCCUUCUAAAGGAGAACUAAUCUUCAGUCAAGGGUAUACAGGUAGUUAUGCUCUCCUGCCAGAACCUAAAAAAAGCUCUCAAAUAAGUAACUUUGAUGAUGUCCAACACAAUAAAAACUACAAGACAUUCAAGGAAGCAGGAAAAUGUGACAUAUAACUAGAAGA
This 288-nucleotide small nuclear RNA is filed under the name Marmota monax (woodchuck). It matches the Rfam family "7SK RNA". Rfam says of the family: 7SK was discovered as an abundant small nuclear RNA in the mid-70s but a possible function has only recently been suggested. Two independent studies have found that 7SK RNA binds the CDK9/cyclin T complex (known as elongation factor P-TEFb). Lineage: Eukaryota; Metazoa; Chordata; Mammalia; Rodentia; Sciuridae. The record is from RNAcentral.